Molecule: long non-coding RNA, 1688 nt
Organism: Carassius auratus (goldfish)
Lineage: Eukaryota; Metazoa; Chordata; Actinopteri; Cypriniformes; Cyprinidae
Source: Ensembl
UGUGACAUCAUCUGUGAAAGUCAAGGAGGGACGAAUGGAAGGUAAUCAUAAAGGUCAAGCUUCAAAAGCUUAUAAAAGUACCAUAUAGUAAUGCAUAUCAUUUAUUUGCUGUGUUCUAUAAACUUCUGAAGUUGUUCAAAUAAUUUGUGUGAAAAAGAGACUGAAAUAUAGGCCGUUCUUCAUCUGGCCCAUAUGUAUCCAUCUUUUGUAAAGCCAACAACGUGGUAAAGUUUCCUUUUCUAAUGUGAAAAUGUUAUGAAUAAAGCUUAUUAUUAAAAGUUCCUCUCCUUUCUCUUUAUCUCAGGUGAUAGUGAUAGUUGAACAGUAAAAUAUGAUUAGUUUAAUGUACUGUAUACUUUCAAAUGAAAUAGCAAAGUAAAAUAGCUAAUAAGAUAAAUUGAGCAAAUUAACACCAAUUAAACAAAUGAUUAAGAAGAAUAAAAGUUGGAAGAUAAGACGAAAUAUACCAGUGAUAGUAAAAGUGAACAAGUUCUGCUGCUAGUUUCUCACACACACUGCUGUGCUUGUGCUGUUUUUUCAGACCGAGCGAGAUUGUGUGUGUAAACCCCUUCAGAAGCAGGAUCUGCUUUUAGACACAGCAAUGAGGAUCGUCCAGACUGAACUCCACAUCAGAGAAACUCACCCUAUGAGAUACACACACCGAUUCAGCACUGUAGAUCAUUCACAGCAGGAAAAAGACCAACGCUUCCUGUGUCUUUCGCUGCAGUGUUAGAUUUAGGCUGAUGGCAAAAUGUUGCAUGAUCCUUGAAAACCAUUACCAAAACUACACAAGAUGAAAGAAAAAAUGAUAUGUAAAUCACAGUUCUGACAUAAUGCACUGUAAAUGACAUCAAGAUUGGAAUGUUUGGAAUCAUCAGCUCUUUUAGUUUCACUGAAGGCAGAUCCUGGAAGACUGCAGCAGAGUUCCACUGUUGCCGAGGAGACAGCUGUCAAUCAUCAGCAGCUGCUGGAAUGCUCCAUUGAGACGCUUCAGGGGGAGCUCAGCUGUGCUGUGAAAGAUGGAGAGACCCUGAGAGAAGAGAGACAUCAGAUGAAGAGGAAGGUGGAGAUGACCACGGUGAACUCAGCACUGCAGAAACAGAAGGAGGACAACAAGGAGCUGAUGGAGAGCCUGGCAGCCUUCAGCAUCAGCAGGUUUAACAUCAAAAGAUCACAGAGUCAGAUGCACGUCAAACGAAGAGUGUGCUAGUAAGUCUCUCUCUCUCUCUCUCUCUCUCAGGUAACUCAUCAUCAGAUUGAACAGAUGCUUGGGGACUUGACAAACAGCAUGAACAAACCGGCCUAUGAGAAGGGCAAUCUGCAGGUCUGUUUAACACAUGUUGCAUGUAUAUGAUUUAUUGCACACAUUUUGCACGGUGUGACAUACAGUGAUGCUUGAACAGUCAUAUAAUGAACAAACAUCAUAUGUCAGAAACACACACCAGGCUUCAAAUGAACAGUGUGUGUGUGUGUGUGUGUGUGUGUGUGUUUACACAGGCACAAGUGCAACAGAUGGUCAUUGAAUUUACUCAACACUCAGCAACACUGCACUGCAGAACACUUACACACAGGUAAACACACACACACACACACUCUAACAAGCACAUUCAACAGUUCUGUGCUGCUCAGGUGUGUGAAACUGAACUGCAUAAACACAGAAAAGCAACUGACACUGGUCAAAUUUGAAC